AUCUAAUUUCAUUGACAACCUGGUCUGGUGACGAUACUUUCCUUUAUUUAAAAAAAUAAAAUAAAAAUAAAACAUUUUCUUGAACAAAAAAGAAGCUAAAAUAAAAUAAAAACAGUUACAUAGAAAGUUGUAAUUAAUGAAAAUUAGUAAAAUUAGUACUAUUAGUGGACCAGACACACACACACAAUCCUGUGUGCUUCACGGACUGUAUCCCUUGCAGACUGCAUUGAUGUAUAUUGUAGGAACCAGAAUAUUAAUAACAGAAGGAAAAAACCCUUUUGGGUGAAUGAGUGAGAAAGAGUGUAAGUGUAUCUUGUGUUUUUUAUGUUGAUUUAAUUAAAAAAAAAAAAAAAAAAAGCACGUUUCCCUUAAGUAUGUUAAAAAUAUAUAAUAUUAAUAAUGACAGAGAUAUUUGUGUAAAAAAAAAGAAAGAAAUGAAGAUAACUAUAAAUAUUGACGUCAUCGCGAUGUCGUCGAACCAAUAGUGACGCAAUCGUUGAUAUCCCUACAGUCGACAGUUGUAUUGGUUCAGACCAUUAAGUUCCGGGAGUCGUUCCGUACACAAGUGGCACCAAAAUGAGACAUUUGCAUACUUCUAUGAUCGCGUCUGUGUCUCUUUGCGCUCUUUACGUCGUGUACGUACAAAUCCACCGUUCUCAUAAACUACUUAAAACAAAGACGCUCAGCUGCGAGAAACUUCCGAGUGUCGUGUAUCUUUUUCUGAGAUAUGUGAGCCGCGCACUUACUCGGAGAAAAGGCUGCUUGCACGACAAGAAGGAAUGCAAGCAAGAAGUAUUUUAUACUGUCAACAACUGCAGGCUGGACGUGCUGCUUUUGAGGAGGUUCUGCAAGGCCACGGGAUAUGGUUGGGACUACCCAGACAGUCAAUACAGAGACAUCCCUCUCUGUUUCCCCGUCUUUAUGUGCCAUAAACUGAUGAUUAUGGCCAUUACUGAUGACAACUUCCUGUUGAGCCCAGUUGGUCUGCGUUGUGUGCGUCAGAGCAUCAGAACCCAGCAACCAGUGGAUGAGCUGAAAAAAGGUCCUUUUAUGCUCCAAGUUCAAGUCCUGCUGUACAGACCCGUUGAUGCAGGCGUGGAAGUGGAUGUCUGUCUGUCGGCUUUUUCACGACACAACAGUCUUGUGUGGGAGAGCGUCGUCACACUGCUGUCCCAAACCAAGGUGCCACGGGCCGUCAAAGGUGCAGCCCAGAAGGAAUAUGAGGGUGAAGGUCAUGAAGUCGUGCUCGCGGAUGCAAAGCAAGUGGAUCUCAGAGUUCCACUGAGCACAGGCCCGCCGUGUCCGUGGUCCUUCUUUGACUGUUGGGUCGUCUUUCUGCCAGCUUCCCUCUUUGGCUUAAAUCUGCGUCCCGUUUCGAGUCUGUGGAUGUUGUCUGUCUGCCUGGCGGAAGUAGAGAAGCACAAUGGGGUUGGAGACGUCACAUCUCCAGUCAACGUCGCGGUCCAGUGGAAGGACCCUUUGCUGGCUCCGAGCAGAGUGGAACUUUUGUUUUGGAAGUGUCCAACACAAGACCUCGUCUUUCAAAUGCGGCAACACAGCGGUCGCAGCAAGUGUCACUUAAUGGGAAAGAUAUCAAGGACUUAACAAGAAUGAGUGCACCAUGUGACUUCCUGCCGGCACCACCCUCUGUAAGGAGUCAUCGUUGGAUGACGUGAGAGCGGGCGCUGAGCACGUCAGAUUCCCAAGCCAGGAACACGAACAUCCAUUAUUCGUACUGCAGACCAGCGAGACACCGUAUUGUCCCUCUUUGGCCAUGUGACUUUUUGAUUACUCGACUUGGCUCAAGUGGAAAGUACAUGAAGACUCACGCACAGGAGGAGACUCCCUCACCCCCAGCAGGGGGCAGCACUGUGCAAGUGUGCCAUGAUUACCAGAAGGUGGCGUUGAAUAUGCAGCCUGCAUCAUGCAUGGAGCAGAAGUUCAGCACGAGGGAAGACGGCGCUCAAAGGAGCUCCUUGUGGACCUUGGAUUCAAGCUCGCAGGCCUUUUCAGGUCCAGAGGACACCUCCACAGAUCCACAAUGGACCCGGACCGAGACUUCCACUCUGACUUUUGUUGACAGUCACGCCAUGGAGGAGUCGGGAGAGAAUCCCAGCCUGCCUGAUCUGACGAGGCUUUACCUGAAAGACUUGGUGCUGAUAGAUGACGACGAUGACGGCGACAUGUCCCUGAGGGAGAAAACCGUCAACAACGUGUCCGUCAUGGACGGGAGAGCUGCAGACCUGGUCCGUGGCAGACUGCCUUCCACUUCUAGCCGCUCAGUGACCGAGUGCCAGAAUGAGUCUUGUGCGCCCAAAGUGUCUUCUCCUCAGCAGCACCAGUCUUCACGUGGAGACCAGCAAUGCUGCACCUGCAUCGUCCUCUGACCAUCAGUGUUGCAAUUGUGGUGUAUUUGUGAUGAGCCAAGAAGACGCCAACCAGGAAUCGUCGAACAAAACGCUUUAUUUGUUUCAACGAGCCUCAGACUGGAACUGCAGCUUCCAGGAGAAAGAGUAUGGGCCUAAAUUAAAGUACCAAUGAUUGUCACACACACACACUAGGUGUGGCGAAAUGAUUCUCUGCAUUUGACCCAUCACCCUUGAUCACCGCCUGGGAGGUGAGGGGAGCAGUGAGCAGCAGCGGUGGCUGCGUUCGGGAAUCAUUUUUGAUGAUUCAACCCCCAAUUCCAACCCUUGAAGCGGGGAGGUAAUGAGUCCCAUUUUUAUAGUCCUUGGUAUGACUCGGCCGGGGUUUGAACUCACGACCUACCGAUCUCAGGGCGGAGACUCUAACCACAAGACCACUGAGCAGGUUUUACACGAAGACCCACACUCUUCGUAACUCUAGCCUUGGAGCCGGCCAGUCUGGACAAAGCCCAAUGUGUUGCUCGGCCAGUCAAUCUAUUUCCCCGGAUCGGUUUGAGUCGAGCGACCUCCCACCCCUAUCCUCUACUCCUACUUGUGAGGGCUUCUUACCAGAUGUUGCUAAUGUCUUUACACUUCCUCCUAAAAUCAAAACCUGCAUUCCUGUAGGAUUCCAAUUUCCUGGGGGCGAGCGCCACCACUCUUUGGAGAGCUUGUGAUGGACAUGUGCACUUUUGAAGCUACCUAAGGACAUAUUUCCUAAGUAGAAUAAUCCUCUGAAGGAUUCUUUGACCAAAU
Nerophis lumbriciformis (worm pipefish) is the source of this 3161-nucleotide RNA transcript. RefSeq lists it as uncharacterized. The record is from RefSeq and is a predicted model, not a curated record. NCBI's taxonomy places the organism in Eukaryota, Metazoa, Chordata, Actinopteri, Syngnathiformes, Syngnathidae.